RNAcentral lists this ribosomal RNA (467 nucleotides) under uncultured bacterium. RNAcentral's name for it is "partial 16S ribosomal RNA". It matches the Rfam family "Bacterial small subunit ribosomal RNA", at positions 28 to 507 of the family's 1533-position model. The record is from RNAcentral.
GACGAACGCUGGCGGCGUGCUUAACACAUGCAAGUCGAACGAUGACGCCCGAGCUUGCUCGGUCUGAUUAGUGGCGAACGGGUGAGUAACACGUGAGCAACCUGCCCUUCACUCUGGGAUAACCUCGGGAAAUCGGGGCUAAUACCGGAUAUGAGCUCCUGUCGCAUGGCGGGUGUUGGAAAGUUUUUCGGUGAAGGAUGGGCUCGCGGCUUAUCAGUUUGUUGGUGAGGUAGUGGCUCACCAAGGCGAUGACGGGUAGCCGGCCUGAGAGGGCGACCGGCCACACUGGGACUGAGACACGGCCCAGACUCCUACGGGAGGCAGCAGUGGGGAAUAUUGCACAAUGGGCGAAAGCCUGAUGCAGCGACGCCGCGUGAGGGAUGACGGCCUUCGGGUUGUAAACCUCUUUCAGCAGGGAAGAAGCGAAAGUGACGGUACCUGCAGAAGAAGCGCCGGCUAACUACGUG